This 1552-nucleotide long non-coding RNA is filed under the name Parus major (Great Tit). Its description in RNAcentral is "lncRNA (ENSPMJG00000010371.1)". Lineage: Eukaryota; Metazoa; Chordata; Aves; Passeriformes; Paridae. The record is from RNAcentral.
GAUGCCCCUAAAAAGAAAAAGCAGUAAUCUGGCAAAAUGAACUCAGAACACACAAAGAGAAGCCACUGGAGACUAAUCUGCAAGGUAUUCAGAUUCUGCUACCAAACUGCUUCUGGGACUUCAUGCGGUUUGCUUCAUCUGAGAGAACCUCAGGUGUUGCUGUUGAGCAGAAAUUGGAAGGAAACUGUAAAGGUGAAUAGACUGAGAAAAUGGUCCUGCCCAUCAUCACAGGAAACCAUAAACCUCACCACUGUGGGACAGGAGUGACCAGCCAUGACCAUUUUUGCUACCUUAGGAACAUCCCCAUUCACUCUAUUUUUCAGAUAAGAAACAGAAAGAAUGACUUACUAGGGAACCGAGUUAAAAACAAAAGAAGUGAAGAUUGGUCAUCUCUGCAGAGGAAAUUACAAGGUCUUUCUCAGAAGAAACAGCUGCAUAAUGUGGAAUCAGUUGUGUGAAAUUCUGUUGGCAAGGCCUUUGACUUUCAACUUCUGCUGGAUCCAGCUGAGUGAUCAAAGAGAGAACUUUUGCAGGUAUUUGUCUUCACCUUACUAAUCUCACCUUAAUGAGAUGCAAAUUAUUCCAGAAUAAUAAUUUCAAGAAACACUUGUGUUCCUUCUGAGGAAAUGCUAUGAGGGUGAUCUGGAAUGCCAGGAGUUUGGUGUUGAGUGGGCCCAUUAAUCCUACUGCAUCCAAGUCCAGUGUUUUAGUUAAAUUUUAAGCAAGCUAGAGACUUUAUGGUAAAUGCAGGGUAUUUUAAGACACAUUUAAGACUACACUAGAUACACUACUCUGAAGAUACACUAGAUGUCUGUUUUGACAUAGUUUUCAUCUCUCAAAACCAGCAUCUCAAUUGUUUGGUUAAGUAUCCUGUAGAUGUCAAAGAACAUUGCUGAAUCUAGAAAGGAAGGUCUGGUCUUGAUCUAAGCAUCUCUGCCUUAUAAUGAGGUACUGUCUAAUAGCCUUCAUAGCAAACAGUUAAUACAGACACGUGCUAAAAGGGGCACUUGUCCCUGUUAAGAGGAGUGAAAAGUGCCCUCCUCAUUCCCAUAACUAAAGGCCAGAUUCCUCACUGAAUUUCAAGCAACCUGUCCUGGCAUCUGUGGCUCUUGUGAUCAUGACUUUGGGGGUUACAGAAUCACAGUUCCCUUCUUGUCAAAGCCAGAAGUAGGAGGUGGUCCCUGUGUCAGUCCAUGUACCCUAAAUGAUCUUAGCACUGAAGAGUCUCAAAGCUGGUUCAUGGACAUUACAAAUUUGUUCUCCUCAGCACACAGAGGAAGAACACAAUAUUUUAGAGGUGUGGAAGUGAAGCACAGCUGUGAAUAUUUUAAGAUGUAUAACAUUAACAGAUAGGGGUAGAUCUUUAAAAGCCUUCAGUACGGGUCAGUUUGUAGCAUUUUCAGUGAGACUGACAGCUGAGUUUCCCCUUGAAAAGUCUGUUUUUAGUAUCUAAAGAAGCCAGAAGAACUGAUCUUAUUUUUCUGAGAACUUAAUCCAAGUAUUUGCUCAAGAUUAUGAAAUAAAUAUGUGGUCCAGUUGGUAAAUUAAUCCA